RNAcentral lists this ribosomal RNA (301 nucleotides) under uncultured bacterium. Its description in RNAcentral is "partial 16S ribosomal RNA". It matches the Rfam family "Bacterial small subunit ribosomal RNA", at positions 509 to 807 of the family's 1533-position model. The record is from RNAcentral.
CAGCCGCCGCGGUAAUACGUAGGUGGCAAGCGUUGUCCGGAAUUAUUGGGCGUAGAGGGCUCGCAGGCGGUUUCUUAAGUCUGAUGUGAAAGCCCCCGGCUCAACCGGGGAGGGUCAUUGGAAACUGGGAAACUUGAGUGCAGAAGAGGAGAGUGGAAUUCCACGUGUAGCGGUGAAAUGCGUAGAGAUGUGGAGGAACACCAGUGGCGAAGGCGACUCUCUGGUCUGUAACUGACGCUGAGGAGCGAAAGCGUGGGGAGCGAACAGGAUUAGAUACCCCCGUAGUCCCUGUCUCUUAUAC